RNAcentral lists this ribosomal RNA (792 nucleotides) under Staphylococcus aureus. RNAcentral's name for it is "partial 23S ribosomal RNA". It matches the Rfam family "Bacterial large subunit ribosomal RNA", at positions 1 to 790 of the family's 2925-position model. The record is from RNAcentral. Lineage: Bacteria; Bacillati; Bacillota; Bacilli; Caryophanales; Staphylococcaceae.
GAUUAAGUUAUUAAGGGCGCACGGUGGAUGCCUUGGCACUAGAAGCCGAUGAAGGACGUUACUAACGACGAUAUGCUUUGGGGAGCUGUAAGUAAGCUUUGAUCCAGAGAUUUCCGAAUGGGGAAACCCAGCAUGAGUUAUGUCAUGUUAUCGAUAUGUGAAUACAUAGCAUAUCAGAAGGCACACCCGGAGAACUGAAACAUCUUAGUACCCGGAGGAAGAGAAAGAAAAUUCGAUUCCCUUAGUAGCGGCGAGCGAAACGGGAAGAGCCCAAACCAACAAGCUUGCUUGUUGGGGUUGUAGGACACUCUAUACGGAGUUACAAAGGACGACAUUAGACGAAUCAUCUGGAAAGAUGAAUCAAAGAAGGUAAUAAUCCUGUAGUCGAAAAUGUUGUCUCUCUUGAGUGGAUCCUGAGUACGACGGAGCACGUGAAAUUCCGUCGGAAUCUGGGAGGACCAUCUCCUAAGGCUAAAUACUCUCUAGUGACCGAUAGUGAACCAGUACCGUGAGGGAAAGGUGAAAAGCACCCCGGAAGGGGAGUGAAAUAGAACCUGAAACCGUGUGCUUACAAGUAGUCAGAGCCCGUUAAUGGGUGAUGGCGUGCCUUUUGUAGAAUGAACCGGCGAGUUACGAUUUGAUGCAAGGUUAAGCAGUAAAUGUGGAGCCGUAGCGAAAGCGAGUCUGAAUAGGGCGUUUAGUAUUUGGUCGUAGACCCGAAACCAGGUGAUCUACCCUUGGUCAGGUUGAAGUUCAGGUAACACUGAAUGGAGGACCGAACCGACUUACGUU